Haemorhous mexicanus (house finch) is the source of this 3104-nucleotide long non-coding RNA. RefSeq lists it as uncharacterized. The record is from RefSeq and is a predicted model, not a curated record. Lineage: Eukaryota; Metazoa; Chordata; Aves; Passeriformes; Fringillidae. The transcript is spliced from 2 exons.
AGAGCGCCCCCAGCAGGAAGGCGGUGCGGUGCGGCCGCAGGCAGGGAGGGGUGCCGGGCCCGCCGGGUCCCCUGCGCGCUCCCCUCCGCGCUCACCUCCACCCUCCGUCCGCGCAUCGCGCACCUGCGGGCGCUGCGCUGCGCGGGCGCUGCGGGGCGCCGUGACCUUGGGAGGUGCCGGCGGCUGGGCCGAGCAGCGCGCUGGGAGCCGGGGCGGGCGGCGGGUGCGAGAGUGCGGUGUGAGAGAGGGAGCGGGUGUGCGUCCGUGUGUCCCUCGGUCUGUGUCUGUGUGUGCGUACGUGCGGGUGCGCGGCGCGGCAGGGCGGUCGGGUGCUGCUCCCUGCCGGGAGCGGAGGGAAAAGAGGGAAGAGGGCAGCCCGGCAGGGCAGUUCGGCCGUGCUGGAGGGUCCUGCAGCCAGGGUUUGUCAUAGGUGCCCGGUUUUGGAGGCGGAGAUCGGCGGAGUUGGGGAGGGGUGCUGUGGCGGGGCUUCGGGAGAUCGGGGACGUCACCGCUUAUUGCUCCGUAGUGCGUUUUUUCUGAUCGCCUCCUGAGAAGCGGCAGGUCGAGCUGCGUUUACGUGUAAUUCUUAUCAUAGAGGUAUUACACACUUAACUGUGAGUGCGGCUCAGCUACCGCUCUCGAGGCUGGAUUAGCGAGAACAAAACUGUACAAUACAUAUUUUAGAUGUUUUCCUAUUGCGCAACGCUCCGGUGUUCUGUGGCAGGACAGGAGGGAUCGGACCUUGGCAGCCCUUCCAGCGGCGGCUCCGUUCCGUGUAGUGCCGCCUCCCUCGGCCCGGCGCUGCGGUGGGGCGGGCUGGCCCCGAGAGGCAGCUCCUGCCCAAGUGCGCUUGCAGAUGGUCCUGUUCGAAGUCUUCUCUGUGUCUGUCUUUUUCUGCUCGGAGCAGUUUUCGGUGCUUUGUAUCAAUCACUUUCCAGUCUGCCAGGCAUGCUAUCCAGUAUAUCAACAGUCAGUAAAUGCAGGGAUACACAAAUCCAUAAAGGUAGAAUCCUUGAAGAAAAAAGGAAAAAACAUUCCUUUAUGUUGCAAGAAGGAAUAAGAUUUUGGUACCUUUCAGAAGGUUUCCUUCCAUUCAAUUUUACUAUUGGAAAAAUCCAUUCAGCCUGAUUCUUCUGUACUCUCACAAGUCAAGUUUCCACUGACGUCAACCAGGAGUACCAUAUAAAGGACAAGUAACAGGAUUAAACACGACACAAUGUUUGGCAUGGUAGGCUUCCUAAAAGAUCUUAGGGCUCUUACCAGGGAAAUUAAGUCACCAGCAUCACCAAGGGACUGGGAUUUUUAAUUACUUGAAUCUUCAUUUUCUUAUCAUAAAUAAAAUAAAUGUGGUGCAUGCUAAGCACACAGAUAUAGCAUCCACAAGUAGAAAGUCCAGUGCUCUUAAAAUUAAAUACCUAUUUUUCUUGAUCAUUCAGCAGUACUUGCAGUUUGAGCCCAUGCCAAGGGACUAAUGAGAGCCUGGCAUUGACUUGGGCUUGUUGAUUCCAGCCUUUUUCUUUUCUGUCUCCCACCCGCAUCAGACUCCUAAUCUGUGACUGUGGCUUUAUGGCAGAAUGCAGUGCCUCAGGCAGAGCCAUAAGCUAGCCCCGAGAGGAAGGUGGGUACUAGAAAUGGUACAAUUCAUAACACUGCACAUGGCUGAAGCUGCAAGGCAUGUUAGGAACAGCAAAAGGACACAAUACACAUCAGCUCAGUGCCUGCAGCAGUUCAGGCUUCUCACAGAAAUCCAGACUGUGCUCCAUGAGGCUGCUCCUCCCUGCCACGGUUGUGAUGAGGUCGGUGGAAUGACGCACACCAGUGAGGCCUGCUUGCAUGUACAGAAUGUGUAGGAGCAGCUCCUAAAGCACAUGUUCACAAAUCCUGUGGCAACAGAGGCAUUGUAAAUACAUCUCAAGCAAUACAAAUUCAGGGAACAGUUAAGAUAAUUACUGUAGCCAUUUGAUUACUCAUGAUUGACAUUAACAUUCUGGGUAGAAAAGAUGCCAGUGCAAUCUUGUCUCCCUUUUCUGUCACUACCAGCACCACAUACUGUGAAGGUUUUUAGGAACUAAUAAAACCAGAUGCUGUUCUUCAUCUCUCCUCAAUUUCUUCGAGUCAGAUCACAUUCAAAUGUAGUAAACAAAUUGGUGUUUCUAGAUUUGAUGGUACUUUUGAAUCAUAUUAAAUACAAACAGAAGCAGCAUCAAUAGCUACAGUAAGUGCAAACUCUUCACUCACUAAGAUACCUCCAUGCUAUUUAUGGUACUCAUUCACAGGCAAAGGACAGUACAAAGCCUGUACAUCACUUAGGCCCCAGCUGAAUUCUGUUUUGAAGUUUCACAUGUCACAGAACAGUUGUUGACUCUGUGCACAGGAAGGGCACAUCCUGUUUGUGUAUGCUUUAUGAAAUUUCCUGAAAUAUAUUUUUAUUGUGAUUAUUAUUACUUGUGAAGCACAGAAAAUGUCAGUACAGAUGGAAAAUGGCACAGAUGCUUCCAUAUCAAAGUCUUUUUUUCCUUGGUAAAUUACCAACUUCUAGUAAUACUCUGGCUGCAGGAGUGAUGACAUGCCACACAGGCUGUAACCUGCUAGACAUUUUCAGCAGAAAUGCAUUCAAUGAUUAUGCUGUAAAUCUACCUUUUAAUUUUCAUGGUAGAUUUCCAACUCUGAAAAUCUAGUUGCAUUUUUUUUUAACAUUAACAGUCUUCUUACUGUUCAGUGCUGAGCAAGAUGCCGAAGAACCUCGUAGUGUUCUGGUUCAUUCUAACAAUUCUGUGAAAGUUAAAUGCAAUUAUGAAAAUAAAAGUAAUUUUUGGUCUUCAGUCAGGUUAGAGUUCUUUCUUGUAUUACAAAAAGGAUGGUUUACUACUAAUUUCUAAUGAGACACUAAUGCAAGUACUAGCAAGGCAAGCUUCAUGGCAUGUCAGUGCAGUGAAAAAAGCCUGACUGUCUCUCUUGCUGAGUUCUAACUAUUGCUGAUUCAAGCCACUUCAAUGCAUUUUGAAAUAUACAUAUACACUUUGAAAUAUACUACAAUUAAGUAAUCUCUGCUGUAGAAAUGAACAAGCUUGACUACAUGAAUAAACUUUAGUUUCCAGACAAAA